RNAcentral lists this ribosomal RNA (497 nucleotides) under uncultured bacterium. RNAcentral's name for it is "partial 16S ribosomal RNA". It matches the Rfam family "Bacterial small subunit ribosomal RNA", at positions 28 to 507 of the family's 1533-position model. The record is from RNAcentral.
GAUGAACGCUGGCGGCAUGCCUAACACAUGCAAGUCGAGCGGCAGCACGGUAAGCGUGUUUCUCUACUGUUGGCGGGGGGCGGACGAGUAGCGCAUGCAUCACCUACCUCUAUGACUGGGAUAACAACGGGAAACCACUGCCACUACUGGCUAAUAUUUCCAACGGCUUGGAUCAAAAGUUCAUGAGGGUCUUGCUGUUUCUUAGAGCUGGUGCCGCGUUGGAUUAGAUAGUUGGUAAGGUAAAGGCUAACCAAGGCAACGAUGCGUAGCCGACCUGAGAGGAGGAUCAGCCACACUGGAACUGAGACACGGUCCAGACUCCUACGGGAGGCAGCAGUGGGGAAUCUUCCACAAUGGGCGAAAGCCUGACCGAGCAACGCCGCGUGGGUGAAGAAGGUCUUCGGGUCGUAAAACUCUGUUAUUAGGGAAGAAAAGAAGUAGAAGUAUCUGUGGACGUCCUGACGGUACCUAAUGAAUAAGCAACGGCUAACUACGUG